GAAAGUCGUAACAAGGUUUCCGUAGGUGAACCUGCGGAAGGAUCAUUAUUGUAUAACCGAGGUGCGAGGGCUGUCGCUGACCCGAAAGGUCGUGCACGCCCGAGUGCCCUCACACACAUCCAUCUCACCCCUAUGUGCACCACCGCGUGGGUCCCCCUUUGGCUUGUUCGGAGGGGGGCUUACGUUUUCACACAAACUUUGUAUGCAGUGUAGAAUGUAUUUUUUGUUUUUGCGAUCACGCAAUCAAUACAACUUUCAACAACGGAUCUCUUGGCUCUC
Molecule: unclassified non-coding RNA, 279 nt
Filed under: plant metagenome
Description: partial contains small subunit ribosomal RNA, internal transcribed spacer 1, and 5.8S ribosomal RNA
Rfam family: Eukaryotic small subunit ribosomal RNA (bases 1-48)
Source: RNAcentral